This 530-nucleotide ribosomal RNA is filed under the name Fusarium verticillioides. RNAcentral describes it as "eukaryotic LSU rRNA". The stretch from base 160 to 313 matches the Rfam family "5.8S ribosomal RNA". The record is from RNAcentral. Lineage: Eukaryota; Fungi; Ascomycota; Sordariomycetes; Hypocreales; Nectriaceae.
CCCAGUGACAUUACCGAGUUUACACUCCCAACCCCUGUGAACAUACCAAUUGUUGCCUCGGCGGAUCAGCCCGCUCCCGGUAAAACGGGACGGCCCGCCAGAGGACCCCUAAACUCUGUUUCUAUAUGUAACUUCUGAGUAAAACCAUAAAUAAAUCAAAACUUUCAACAACGGAUCUCUUGGUUCUGGCAUCGAUGAAGAACGCAGCAAAAUGCGAUAAGUAAUGUGAAUUGCAGAAUUCAGUGAAUCAUCGAAUCUUUGAACGCACAUUGCGCCCGCCAGUAUUCUGGCGGGCAUGCCUGUUCGAGCGUCAUUUCAACCCUCAAGCCCAGCUUGGUGUUGGGACUCGCGAGUUAAAUCGCGUUCCCCAAAUUGAUUGGCGGUCACGUCGAGCUUCCAUAGCGUAGUAGUAAAACCCUCGUUACUGGUAAUCGUCGCGGCCACGCCGUUAAACCCCAACUUCUGAAUGUUGACCUCGGAUCAGGUAGGAAUACCCGCUGAACUUAAGCAUAUCAAUAAAGCGGAAGAAA